Long non-coding RNA from Balaenoptera musculus (blue whale), 2942 nucleotides. RefSeq lists it as uncharacterized. The record is from RefSeq and is a predicted model, not a curated record. The transcript has 11 exons. Lineage: Eukaryota; Metazoa; Chordata; Mammalia; Artiodactyla; Balaenopteridae.
UAUUCGGCGAGUAGGUUGGUUUCCUGUCACAAGGGCGUGGGCUCUGUGCUAAGCGCGGAAUUCGCGGCGACCAAAGGGAAUAACUGCUGUACCCUCAAGGAGCUUACAUGAAGUUAUGCACAACAAACAAUUGCUAACGCCCUAUAAAGUCAAAAUAUGACCGGUGUUUAAAGAUGAGUAAAAACUUCCUUAGGGACCAAACCAGCAAGUAGACUCAGCUUUGGGAGCCAUUACCCUGGUCCACCUUGAUGUGUCAGCACAACAGAGAGCAGCUUACUUCAUACCCAGCCCUGUAAUGCUUGAGUCACUCAGAUGGUGGUAUAGAGGCAAACUAGAUUGUUUCUAACCGGUGUGGGAACUGAGGAAUGCAGAAUGGGAAGAAUACUGAGGCUACUUGGGGAUGCCUCUCCCAGUGCUCCUUCAGGAUGCUGCUUCCAUCUAUGUUAAGCCCUGGGUUAACUCUGCAGAGAGGCCCCCAGUCACACAGGUUCCUUCUGACCCAGAGUGACCCCCCUGUGGACGACUGCCGAGUGAGAGCAUGUAUGAUUACCAGAGGUUGCCCAAGCUCCAAAGGAAGCACUCCAUGAUCAACAACCCUGACACUACGUGGAAAUGGACACGACUGAUGAAUGUGAAAAGGAAUCAUUGAAAUGGAAAAUCCUGGAGCUGAAAGUGGCCGUAUCCAACUCUACUCUGUGCUUUUUGUAUUUUUUCUUUUAUUUAUUCAUCAUCUCGACAGACAUUUUUUGCGAAUAUACUACAUGCAAAGCACUACAUUAGGUGCUAGGAAAAGAACUGUGAACAAGGGAAGAGGCCAUGUGAGGACACAGUGAGAAGGCAGCCAUAUACAAGCCUGGAAGAGAGGCUUCACCAGAAAUCAACCUAGAUGGCACCUUGAUCUUGGACUUGAAGCUUCCUGAACUCUGAAAGCAUCCUGACUGAUAAGAGUGGUUAAACUGGUUUCUUCAGUCAGUGAGGAGGGAAUUGGCUCCUGGCUUCACCACAGGAAUUAUAUGUCCUCUUCAAAGCUGCUUCCUCCUCUGUGAGAUGCAGAAGCAUCAGCCCCAGCUGGAGACGUGCUGUAGCUGUGCACCACAGAUGCUAACUGAAUUGAGGAGGCUGCAUGGAACAGCAAGGAACAGCCUUGCGCUAAGGAACCAGGUUAUGCAGUCAACAGUUUUGACAGCUACAAAGGGACCCAGGGCAGACUUUUCUCCUUUGCCUGAACUCUCCAAGGAGCCAGAGCCUAGGUACCAGCAGAGGAUUCUUGGGCCCAUCUGCCACCUCAGAGAGUCCAGAUGAAUUUGGACUGGUUGCUGCACUCUCCUCCGAGGCUCUGAAGCUCCCCCUCUGUCCAGGCUGAUCUCCCCACAGCUAACUCUGGGAUGCUUCAAAGAAACCCUGCGACAUCUCAGAAAGAAAUGUUAGACUAAUUAGGCUUACUUGAGAAGCACUGUCAAGUGAUUGGAGAUAAACCUUCUUAGGUUAUAGUGUAUGGGUAAAUGUCAUUAAUAUAGAUAUUCCAAAAUUUAUAUGGAAUUACUAAAAAUCUGGUAUGGCCUGGUUUAAGGUUAUCAGUCAUAAUUCUAGGUGUUAUCUUAGGAUGUUGUAUGUCACAGAAAUAUCCAAGUUUCUUGUCAGUUACAUUAUAAUCAAUCAGAUCUUUAACCAUGCCAUUUUAAGUCCUGUUGUUUAUACACAAUCAUUGUUUUACUCUGAUGCUUUUAUAUAUGAAGAUCUUAGUGAAGAUUCAUAAAAAGGACUUUUGAUAAAUACAAGUUUCUGGUAACUUUUAGAUCUUACUCCUGAACUGGGUAAGAAAUUAAAAAACACUAAUGGAAAACCUGACAACUUCAUCUAGAUGAACAGGAAUUAAUUACAUGGACUGAAUGAAUUGAUGAAUAUGACUUAUAAUUUUAUGACUUUUUUCUGAAAUAUACUGGUUUUUAAUCUCUGUUUUCCAGAAAACCUUUCCUCUUACGCUAACUAUGACCUUCCACAAGUUGAUAAAGUAUACCUUUGUAAACGAAGACAAAACAUUUAUCUUUUUCUCUCUACCUGAUCCCUCCAGAAUUUGGCUUCUCUAGCUGGCUCCCCUGUGGACUUGAUGGCUUAUUUUGACCAGAUUACAACUAGUUAUACUAAUCACUGUUUUAGUUUGUUCUCUCUUGGCAUUUUCAAAUUAUUUAUGCCUUGUGCCUCUCUCUGCUGCACUAUCAGUUUAUUAAUGUUACUAGCUGUAUUACUUAUAUCCUGUCUGUUUUAUGAGAUUAUUAUCUCUUACAUUACCAAAGUGUAACCAAGCCUCCAGCAAAAUUAAUGAUGUCUCGAGUUAGUUGAUCAUAUACAUAACUCUACAUAGAAUAAUUGUAAUAGUGCAAUUCUAGAUCUGGGAAGAAGCAACAAGGGAAAACAUUUCCUGGAUCACAACAGACUAAUAAGACAGGUGAUCCAGAGAAUUUUAGAUUAUCAACAGGGUCUAAUCCAAAACAAAUCAGCACAUUGAGUGGCCUGUCAGCAGAAUCUUCGCCUGAUCAAGGGAUGAGCCUUCCUAGCCCUGAGGGACAAAAUUGGUCAUGAAAUGCCUCCCAAACAUUGGUUGAAUUUAUGGCCAAGAGGAAGCACUGUGAGCAAAGAAUGUCACCUGCCGUAUCAGUAAACAAGCCACCAAGCCAUCAACCUCUGCAGCCACCACCAAUGGUGCAGCCUGAGGGGAUUCAGGAUGGAGAAAAACAGGAUACUGGCCCUAGAUAGUUAAGGUGCAUAUUAAAGGAAUGAUUUCAAUGAGCCAAGGGCCUUGCAUCUUCCCAUACAUAGAAAAGCACUAAAUUCAUUAACUGUAGAUGUCUGUUUUUUCAUUAAUUAGCAGCAAUCUUGUGAUGUUCGACUUCCUGAUUUUAUUUUUGCAAAAACUCCUACAUAUUCCUGGCUCCUCCCUUACC